Molecule: long non-coding RNA, 264 nt
Filed under: Physcomitrium patens
Lineage: Eukaryota; Viridiplantae; Streptophyta; Bryopsida; Funariales; Funariaceae
Description: long non-coding RNA (PPAT_LNC013825)
Source: RNAcentral
GGAGCCACCAAAAAUCCUUGGAUAUUAGUUCCAAAGUUUUAUUGUACUCAAAUUUUCAUGUUGUUAGAAAGUCAUGACAAGCUUCAAGAACACGUAAUCGAGCUUUAUCUUCUUGAAUAUAUACACAUCCCUGAAAAUAUAGUAGAUUGUUCUUGAAUUCAAACUUAGAAGUAUUAUGAGACUUUGAAGGAUUUCUCUUAAUAUCAUAAAUAAGAGGAUCAGAAGACAUACUUGACUGAACUUGCUUAAUAAAAGUUGAAUCAA